GCCAGACUCCUACGGGAGGCAGCAGUGGGGGAUAUUGCACAAUGGGGGAAACCCUGAUGCAGCGACGCCGCGUGAGUGAAGAAGUAUUUCGGUAUGUAAAGCUCUCUCGGCAGGGAAGAAAAAAGACGGUACCUGACUAAGAAGCCCCGGCUAACUACGUGCCAGCAGCCGCGGUAAUACGUAGGGGGCAAGCGUUAUCCGGAUUUACUGGGUGUAAAGGGAGCGUAGACGGCAAUACAAGUCGGAAGUGAAAUACCCGGGCUUAACCUGGGAACUGCUUUGGAAACUGUAUGGCUGGAGUGCUGGAGAGGUAAGCGGAAUUCCUAGUGUAGCGGUGAAAUGCGUAGAUAUUAGGAGGAACACCAGUGGCGAAGGCGGCUUACUGGACAGUAACUGACGUUGAGGCUCGAAAGCGUGGGGAGCAAACAGGAUUAGAUACCCGUGUAAA
Molecule: ribosomal RNA, 448 nt
Filed under: uncultured bacterium
Lineage: Bacteria
Description: bacterial SSU rRNA
Rfam family: Bacterial small subunit ribosomal RNA
Source: RNAcentral